UUCGCUGCAGAGAUCCGGGACCCGUGGAAGAAGGCCCGGGUGUGGCUCGGCACCUUCGACUCCGCCGAGGACGCCGCCCGGGCGUACGACGCCGCUGCCUGCGCCCUCCGCGGUCCCAAAGCCAAGACCAACUUCCCCCUCUCCACCUCCUCCUCUCCCACUCCCCAGCACCUCCCUCCCUUCCGCCCCUCCGCCACGCGGUUCCCCUUGGGCCACCGCGGCCACCAGCCCCCGCCGCCGACGCGGCCCACGUCCAGUAGCCACAGCAGCACCGUGGAGUCCUGCAACGGGCCCCGUCUGCCCGCGGCGGCGGCGGCCAC
Molecule: long non-coding RNA, 320 nt
Filed under: Musa acuminata (dwarf banana)
Lineage: Eukaryota; Viridiplantae; Streptophyta; Magnoliopsida; Zingiberales; Musaceae
Description: long non-coding RNA (MACU_LNC001742)
Source: RNAcentral